AUGUUAGCUUUUCCACAUAUCAACAAGUCGUCAGCAAACAUUAACGAGUGGAUAGGAGGGCAGUUUGGACCUAAGGAUAUACCUGAGAGCUGGUUGGCUUGUAGUGCAUUCUGUAGGGCCAUUGAGAGCUCAUUAACAACAAGGACAAAAAGAUAUGGAGACAAAGGACAUCCUUGUCAUAUACCCCUAGAACUUUUGAAACAUCCAAAAGGCUGCCCAUGUAUGAUCACAGAAAAAGAGGGAGAAGAAAUGCAAGCAUAUAUAAGAUUAAUGAAAUGGCUAUGCAACCCCUUACGUGCAAGAGCAGAGCAAAUGAAAUUCCACUCGAUUCUGUCAAAAGCUUUUGCAAGAUCGAUUUUAAGCAUGAAGUCAUUGCCUUUAUAG
RNAcentral lists this ribosomal RNA (384 nucleotides) under Triticum aestivum (bread wheat). RNAcentral's name for it is "partial small subunit ribosomal RNA". Lineage: Eukaryota; Viridiplantae; Streptophyta; Magnoliopsida; Poales; Poaceae. The record is from RNAcentral.